CAGCAGCCGCGGUAAUACGGAGGAUGCGAGCGUUAUCCGGAUUUAUUGGGUUUAAAGGGAGCGCAGACGGGUUUUUAAGUCAGCUGUGAAAGUUUGGGGCUCAACCUUAAAAUUGCAGUUGAUACUGGAGACCUUGAGUGCAGUUGAGGCAGGCGGAAUUCGUGGUGUAGCGGUGAAAUGCUUAGAUAUCACGAAGAACUCCGAUUGCGAAGGCAGCUUGCUAAAGUGUAACUGACGUUCAUGCUCGAAAGUGUGGGUAUCAAACAGGAUUAGAGACCCUGGUAGUCCACACGGUAAACGAUGGAUACUCGCUGUUGGCGAUAUACGGUCAGCGGCUUAGCGAAAGCGUUAAGUAUCCCACCUGGGGAGUACGCCGGCAACGGUGAAACUUAAAGGAAUUGGCGGG
This 406-nucleotide ribosomal RNA is filed under the name uncultured microorganism. RNAcentral's name for it is "bacterial SSU rRNA". It matches the Rfam family "Bacterial small subunit ribosomal RNA", at positions 509 to 917 of the family's 1533-position model. The record is from RNAcentral.